This 483-nucleotide ribosomal RNA is filed under the name uncultured bacterium. RNAcentral describes it as "SSU rRNA". It matches the Rfam family "Bacterial small subunit ribosomal RNA", at positions 26 to 521 of the family's 1533-position model. The record is from RNAcentral.
AGGACGAACGCUGGCGGCGUGCUUAACACAUGCAAGUCGAACGGUGACGGAGGAGCUUGCUCCUCCUGAUCAGUGGCGAACGGGUGAGUAACACGUGAGUAACCUGCCCCAGACUCUGGAAUAACCCCGGGAAACCGGAGCUAAUACCGGAUACGAGACGGAGUCGCAUGGCUACCGUCUGGAAAGUUUUCGGUCUGGGAUGGACUCGCGGCCUAUCAGCUUGUUGGUGAGGUAACAGCUCACCAAGGCGACGACGGGUAGCCGGCCUGAGAGGGCGAUCGGCCACACUGGGACUGAGACACGGCCCAGACUCCUACGGGAGGCAGCAGUGGGGAAUAUUGCACAAUGGGCGAAAGCCUGAUGCAGCGACGCCGCGUGAGGGAUGAAGGCCUUCGGGUUGUAAACCUCUUUCAGCAGGGAAGAAGCGAAAGUGACGGUACCUGCAGAAGAAGCACCGGCUAACUACGUGCCAGCAGCCGCGGU